This 497-nucleotide ribosomal RNA is filed under the name uncultured bacterium. RNAcentral's name for it is "partial 16S ribosomal RNA". It matches the Rfam family "Bacterial small subunit ribosomal RNA", at positions 28 to 507 of the family's 1533-position model. The record is from RNAcentral.
GAUGAACGCUGGCGGCGUGCCUAAUACAUGCAAGUCGAGCGAACGGACGAGAAGCUUGCUUCUCUGAUGUUAGCGGCGGACGGGUGAGUAACACGUGGAUAACCUACCUAUAAGACUGGGAUACCUUCGGGAAACCGUAGCUAAUACCGGAUAAUAUUUUGAACCGCAUGGUUCAAAAGUGAAAGACGGUCUUGCUGUCACUUAUAGCUGGAUCCGCGCUGCAUUAGCUAGUUGGUAAGGUAACGGCUUACCAAGGCAACGAUGCAUAGCCGACCUGAGAGGGGGAUCGGCAACACUGGAACGGGAGCACGGUCAAGACUCCUGCGAGAGGGAGCAGUAGGGAAUCUUCCGCAGUGGGCGAAAGCCUGACGGAGCAACGCCGCGUGAGUGAUGGAGGUCUUCGGAUCGUGAAACUCUGUUAGGAGGGAAGAACAUAUGUGUAAGUAACUGGGCACAUCUUGACGGUAACUGAUAAAAAAGCCACGGCUAACUACGUG